CCUACGGGAGGCAGCAGUGGGGAAUAUUGGACAAUGGGCGAAAGCCUGAUCCAGCAAUGCCGCGUGAGUGAUGAAGGCCUUAGGGUCGUAAAGCUCUUUUACCCGGGAUGAUAAUGACAGUACCGGGAGAAUAAGCCCCGGCUAACUCCGUGCCAGCAGCCGCGGUAAUACGGAGGGGGCUAGCGUUGUUCGGAAUUACUGGGCGUAAAGCGUACGUAGGCGGUUAUUCAAGUCAGAGGUGAAAGCCCGGGGCUCAACCCCGGAACGGCCUUUGAAACUAGAUAGCUAGAGUCUUGGAGAGGUCAGUGGAAUUCCGAGUGUAGAGGUGAAAUUCGUAGAUAUUCGGAAGAACACCAGUGGCGAAGGCGACUGACUGGACAAGUACUGACGCUGAGGUACGAAAGCGUGGGGAGCAAACAGGAUUAGAUACCCUGGUAGUCCGCGCCGUAAACGAUGAUAACUAGCUGUCCGGGUACUUGGUAUCUGGGUGGCGCAGCUAACGCAUUAAGUUAUCCGCCUGGGGAGUACGGUCGCAAGAUUAAAACUCAAAUGAAUUGACGG
This 561-nucleotide ribosomal RNA is filed under the name uncultured bacterium. RNAcentral describes it as "bacterial SSU rRNA". It matches the Rfam family "Bacterial small subunit ribosomal RNA", at positions 338 to 916 of the family's 1533-position model. The record is from RNAcentral.